GACAGAGCUUCACUCUGUUGUCCAGGCUGGAGUGCAGUGGUGCAAUUAUACCUUCCUGCAGCGUUGAAUUCCUGGGCUCAAGCUAUUCUCCCAGCUCAGCUUUUGUUAUUCCUGAUUUUGGUCUUGGUCAAGAAAUCCUGUCUGACUUCAGUGCCAUAAAGAUAACUUCUUCACGUCUCUCAUAAGACAGAGAGAGCCUAAGAAGUAGUGCAGCAGAGACUGAAUCCCAGACACUGACUGCACAUGAAGCAUUGAUGGUUAGUGAUGAUGGUGGUGAUGAAGUUUAUAAGGGAAAUGGUGGCCAAUUCUGAGAGGUGUAACCACCAGAGAAACACCACUGGCUGUACAGAGAACAGAAAAUAAAACUGAUGAAAAUCUGCCUACAGGGUUAUUGUUUUUCAUGUUAUACAUUAUUUAGAACACAGAUAAUCAGGCAGGUAGCAUGUUUCACAAAAGCCUCCCUAAAACUGGAAAAUGAACUGGCUGUUGCUGAUAUGAACAUGUCAGAGAUUUGAAAAACAUUUGGGAGAAACCAAGGAAAUCAAUUCACCCCCAUAUUGAUGUGUCUAAUCCGUUCGAGGAUAAAAAGAAUACUAAUGUGGGCUUUUCAGAAAAUACUGAAGGAAAAGGAAAUGGAAUUGCAUCUAGAAGAUUCAAGGGAAGAGCACCCCUCUGAAAAUGAUCUGUUAUAGGACCCAGAGGGGAAAAAAAACCUGAGAAAUUAGUUAGCAUUUGUUGUCAAUGGUGGAGUCAGGUGAGAGGUGACUGGAUCAUGGAGGCAGAUCCCUCAUGAAUGCUCUAGCAGCAUCCCCUUCAUGAGAAGUGUGUUCUUGCUCCGUUAGUUCAUGUGAGAUCUGCUUAUUUAAAAGAGUCUGGGACCUCCUCCUUUUCUCUUUUGAUCUGGCCUCUCUGUGUGACAUGCCUGCUCCCAUGUCACCUUCCACCAUGAUUGUAAGCUUCCUGACACUCUUACCAGAGGCCAAGCAAAUAUUGGUGCCAUGCUUUUACAGCCGAUUAAACCUCUUCUCCUUAUAAAUUACUCAGCCUCAGGUAUUUCUUUAUAGCAAUGUAAGAAUGGACUAACACAGAGUCUCCAGGAAUCAAUAGUAUAAAGUCAUAGAGAGCAGGCUAACGUGAUAAGGCACCAAAAAGAGAAGAAAAGAAAGUAAAAUGAAAGAAACGAAUGAGAAGGAAGUAUUGCACAGAAACUAAAAUCUCAGCAACAAAACCAACAUCUCCACUGAAAUAGAAAGUUAUGUUAUAUAUUGUUUUGUAUUGUUAUAUACUUCUUUAUAUUGUUGGUAUAGAGAAGUUAUAUCAAGGGAAAUAUAAACAGUAACAUAGAAGUUAAAGAUACUCUCCCAGAAUAUAAAGAAAUGUACUAAAAAAUGACACUGAAAGAAAAAAGAUUCAUAUAGAAUAAUGAAUACAAAGAAAAUUGGUUUUCUUGAAGAAGACAUAAGAAAUAAUGAAACAAAACAAUAUUAGUUUACCCAUUUAUUCAACGUGUAUUUAUCGAGCGAUCUACCAUGUGCGUGCACUGUGCUAGGUGAUGCAUAGGCUGCAAUGUGUAUUAAAUGAGCUCACCUCCUUCAAUUACAGAAGCAAACACACACAUAAAUAUGUACUUGUGGAUUUUGGAAAGCAUUAUGUAAGAAAACAGAACAAUAAUUAACAAUAUAACAGAAUAGAACUUUAAUGAGUUGAAGAAAGAUCUCUGCAUGGAACUUGAAAGUAUGCUUUCCCAGUCAGGCAAAGCCAAUAAAACCAGAACGAUACCAGCUAGAUAAAGACAGCAUCUAAAUUGCCAUUUUUAAAUUAUAAGAUAAAAAAUAUUUAAAAGCGGUCAUGCAGAACAAUAACAACAAAAAUACCCUAACGGGACUCAUCUCUUCAAUGCUAAAUGUCAGAAACUUCUGGAUCAUCUUAUCUAAAGACUUUGGAAAAAAGUGAUCAUGAACUUUGUACCCAAUAAAGUGUCUUCCAUGUGCAAAGGCACAUGAGUUUAUCAGAUAAACUCUUCAGAAUAUCUCUAACCCAUGAAUUCUUCUUUAGAAACCAUUAGUUCAACCAAACAAGAGGAGAUGACAAAGUAAGAGCUCAAGUAUGAAACUAGUUUGAAAUGAGAUAAAACUAAAUUAUUGAUGCACACAAAUGAGAAAACUGAGCCUUUGAGGAACUAAAAGGCCAU
This is a long non-coding RNA of Callithrix jacchus (white-tufted-ear marmoset), 2191 nucleotides long. RefSeq lists it as uncharacterized. The record is from RefSeq and is a predicted model, not a curated record. NCBI's taxonomy places the organism in Eukaryota, Metazoa, Chordata, Mammalia, Primates, Cebidae.